CGGCCCUGGCUGAGCUUGCGUUGCACCAACAUCCAUCCCCCGCCCCUCGACAUUGGGUUCCUGCCCAGGGUUCUGGCUUUCUUCCUGGGCUUUGUAGCGCGGCCGGGGGCGGGGCUUUCUAACCUCUCAAGUGGCAAUUCCUUUAGGUUUUGGGGCCUUGGUUGCCCAGAAUGGGCUGCGGCAUAUUCUGUGCUUUCCCGGGCUGGGACGAGCUGACAGAAAUUCUGGGUUUAGCGGUCGCCGACCCAGUGGGCCGCCAUCGGCGCCCAGAGGUGGCUGGGAAGAAUGGGCGAGUUUAGUAGGCGUCCCAGGCUGUCAAAAUCUUUGCUGUUGGCUCGUGCUGUCCAGCUGCGGUAGGUGCAUCCCUGGGAUACCGGAAGAACUAGGCGAG
Molecule: long non-coding RNA, 391 nt
Filed under: Marmota monax (woodchuck)
Lineage: Eukaryota; Metazoa; Chordata; Mammalia; Rodentia; Sciuridae
Source: RNAcentral